GGACAUGAGUUUGAGAAAUGGGGUCAGUCGAGUAGAAAUAUUCAACUAAUUGAAGAAAAAAUUCAAAAGCAUCCCCGACUUUAGAAAACCCUUCCUGCAAAGACUUAGAUAUCUCGUUACAAAAUGAGAGAUUUCCUUCACGCAUGUUUACAAGGUCGGACUAGGACUUCUGAUGGUUGUCUCAGAUUCCCUUAAAUCGUUCUCCAAAUCCUUAUCCUUCUUUUUUGAAGCUUCCAAGGACCUCUUUGCCUCAGUCAAAGCUUCUUACUUU
RNAcentral lists this long non-coding RNA (271 nucleotides) under Lathyrus oleraceus (garden pea). RNAcentral's name for it is "Pisum sativum (pea) long non-coding RNA (PSAT_LNC038550)". Lineage: Eukaryota; Viridiplantae; Streptophyta; Magnoliopsida; Fabales; Fabaceae. The record is from RNAcentral.